RNAcentral lists this ribosomal RNA (390 nucleotides) under Nymphalis urticae (small tortoiseshell). RNAcentral describes it as "Aglais urticae (small tortoiseshell) partial 16S ribosomal RNA". Lineage: Eukaryota; Metazoa; Arthropoda; Insecta; Lepidoptera; Nymphalidae. The record is from RNAcentral.
GUCUUUUUGAUAAUAAUUUAAAGUCUAAUCUGCCCACUGAUAUAAUUAUUAAAGGGCUGCAGUAUAUUGACUGUACAAAGGUAGCAUAAUCAUUAGUCUUUUAAUUGAAGACUUGUAUGAAAGAUUUGAUGAAAUAUAAACUGUCUCUAAUUUAUUGAAAUAAAAUUUAAUUUUUUAGUAAAAAAGCUAAAAUAAAAUUAAAAGACGAGAAGACCCUAUAGAGUUUUAUAAUUAAAUUAAUUGAUUUAAAAUAUAUAAAUAUAAAAAUAAAAUUAUUUUAAUUAUUUUAUUGGGGUGAUAGAAAAAUUAAAAAAACUUUUUUUAAAGAUUAACAUUAAUAAGUGAAUAAUUGAUCCAUUAAUAAUGAUUAUAAGAAAAAAUUACCUUAGG